UUCCGGUUGAUCCCGCCGGAGGCUACCGCUAUUGGAGUUCGAUUAAGCCAUGCGAGUCGAGAGUCCUCGGGACUCGGCGUACCGUUCAGUAACACGUGGGUAACCUGCCCUAUGCUGGGGAAUAACCUCGGGAAACUGAGAAUAAUGCCCCAUAGCCCACUACGCCUGGAACGGUGAGUGGGUCAAAGCCCCGGCGGCAUAGGAUGGGCCUGCGCCGUAUCAGGUUGUAGGGGGUGUAAAGUACCCUCUAGCCAUCAACGCGUACGGGUGUUGGGAGACAUUGCCCGGAGAUGGAUUCUGAGACACGAAUCCAGACCCUACGGGGUGCAGCAGGCGCGAAAACUUGGCAAUGCGAGAAAUCGUGACCAGGGAACUCCAAGUGCGUAGGGUAAGACCUACGCUUUUCUUGACUCUUCAAAGGUCUUGGAAUAAGGGGUGGGUAAGGACGGUGCCAGCCGCCGCGGUAAUACCGGCGCCUCAAGUGGUAGUCGCUUUUAUUGGGCCUAAAACGUCCGUAGCCGGUCUGGUGCAUUCGUGGGUAAAUCAACCCGCUCAACGGGUUGAAUUCUGCGAGCACGGCCAGACUUGGGACCGGGAGAGGUGUGGGGUACUCUCAGGGUAGGGGUAAAAUCCUGUCAUCCUGAGAGGACCACCUGUUGCGAAGGCGCCACACUAGAACGGAUCCGACGGUCAGGGACGAAGCCUAGGGGCACGAACCGGAUUAGAUACCCGGGUAGUCCUAGGUGUAAACGCUGUGGACUUGAUGUUGGGAGUGCUCCGAGCACCCUCAGUGUCGAAGCGAAGGUGAUAAGUCCACUGCCUGGGGAGUACGGUCGCAAGGCUGAAACUUAAAGGAAUUGGCGGGGGAGCACUGCAACCUGAGGAUUGUGCGGUUUAAUUGGAUUCAACGCCGGG
Molecule: ribosomal RNA, 915 nt
Filed under: uncultured archaeon
Lineage: Archaea
Description: bacterial SSU rRNA
Rfam family: Archaeal small subunit ribosomal RNA
Source: RNAcentral